Molecule: unclassified non-coding RNA, 400 nt
Filed under: uncultured Enterobacteriaceae bacterium
Lineage: Bacteria; Pseudomonadati; Pseudomonadota; Gammaproteobacteria; Enterobacterales; Enterobacteriaceae
Description: contains 16S-23S intergenic spacer region
Source: RNAcentral
CCGUCAAUUCAUUUGAGUUUUAACCUUGCGGCCGUACUCCCCAGGCGGUCGAUUUAACGCGUUAGCUCCAGAAGCCACGGUUCAAGACCACAACCUCUAAAUCGACAUCGUUUACAGCGUGGACUACCAGGGUAUCUAAUCCUGUUUGCUCCCCACGCUUUCGCACCUGAGCGUCAGUCUUUGUCCAGGGGGCCGCCUUCGCCACCGGUAUUCCUCCACAUCUCUACGCAUUUCACCGCUACACAUGGAAUUCUACCCCCCUCUACAAGACUCUAGCCAACCAGUUUCAGAUGCAAUUCCCAAGUUAAGCUCGGGGCUUUCACAUCUGACUUAAUUGACCGCCUGCGUGCGCUUUACGCCCAGUAAUUCCGAUUAACGCUUGCACCCUCCGUAUUACCGC